AGGAUGAACGCUGGCGGUCUGCUUAACACAUGCAAGUCGAACGGAGUAGAAAUACUUAGUGGCGGACGGGUGAGUAACGCGUGAGAAUCUACCUUCAGGACGGAGACAACAGUUGGAAACGACUGCUAACCCCCGAUGUACUGAAAAGGCAAAUAUUUAUAGCCUGAAGAAGAGCUCGCGUCCGAUUAGCUAGUUGGAGAGGUAAAAGCUCACCAAGGCGACGAUCGGUAGCUGGUCUGAGAGGACGAUCAGCCACACUGGGACUGAGACACGGCCCAGACUCCUACGGGAGGCAGCAGUGGGGAAUAUUGCGCAAUGGGCGGAAGCCUGACGCAGCGACGCCGCGUGGGGGAUGACGGCCUUCGGGUUGUAAACCUCUUUCGCCAGAGACGAAGAGAAAUUGACGGUACCUGGAUAAGAAGCACCGGCCAACUACGUGCCAGCAGCCGC
RNAcentral lists this ribosomal RNA (450 nucleotides) under uncultured bacterium. Its description in RNAcentral is "SSU rRNA". It matches the Rfam family "Bacterial small subunit ribosomal RNA", at positions 26 to 518 of the family's 1533-position model. The record is from RNAcentral.